This 454-nucleotide ribosomal RNA is filed under the name uncultured bacterium. RNAcentral's name for it is "bacterial SSU rRNA". It matches the Rfam family "Bacterial small subunit ribosomal RNA", at positions 340 to 786 of the family's 1533-position model. The record is from RNAcentral.
UACGGGAGGCAGCAGUGGGGAAUAUUGCACAAUGGGCGCAAGCCUGAUACAGCCAUGCCGCGUGUAUGAAGAAGGCCUUCGGGUUGUAAAGUACUUUCAGUCGUGAGGAAGGUGUUAAGGUUAAUAACCUUAGCAAUUGACGUUAGCGACAGAAGAAGCACCGGCUAACUCCGUGCCAGCAGCCGCGGUAAUACGGAGGGUGCGAGCGUUAAUCGGAAUUACUGGGCGUAAAGGGCACGCAGGCGGUUAAUUAAGUUGGAUGUGAAAUCCCCGGGCUUAACCUGGGAAUGGCAUUCAAGACUGGUUAGCUAGAGUCUUGUAGAGGGGGGUAGAAUUCCAUGUGUAGCGGUGAAAUGCGUAGAGAUGUGGAGGAAUACCGGUGGCGAAGGCGGCCCCUGGACAAAGACUGACGCUCAUGUGCGAAAGCGUGGGGAGCAAACAGGGAUUAGAUACC